This 1427-nucleotide ribosomal RNA is filed under the name metagenome. RNAcentral describes it as "bacterial SSU rRNA". It matches the Rfam family "Bacterial small subunit ribosomal RNA". The record is from RNAcentral.
AGAGUUUGAUCCUGGCUCAGGACGAACGCUGGCGGCGCGCCUAACACAUGCAAGUCGAACGAGCGAGAGAGAGCUUGCUUUCUUGAGCGAGUGGCGAACGGGUGAGUAACGCGUGAGGAACCUGCCUCAAAGAGGGGGACAACAGUUGGAAACGACUGCUAAUACCGCAUAAGCCCACGGCUCGGCAUCGAGCAGAGGGAAAAGGAGCAAUCCGCUUUGAGAUGGCCUCGCGUCCGAUUAGCUAGUUGGUGAGGUAACGGCCCACCAAGGCGACGAUCGGUAGCCGGACUGAGAGGUUGAACGGCCACAUUGGGACUGAGACACGGCCUAGACUCCUACGGGAGGCAGCAGUGGGGAAUAUUGCACAAUGGGGGAAACCCUGAUGCAGCGACGCCGCGUGGAGGAAGAAGGUCUUCGGAUUGUAAGCUCCUGUUGUUGAGGAAGAUAAUGACGGUACUCAACAAGGAAGUGACGGCUAACUACGUGCCAGCAGCCGCGAUAAAACGUAGGUCACAAGCGUUGUCCGGAAUUACUGGGUGUAAAGGGAGCGCAGGCGGGAAGACAAGUUGGAAGUGAAAUCCAUGGGCUCAACCCAUGAACUGCUUUCAAAACUGUUUUUCUUGAGUAGUGCAGAGGUAGGCGGAAUUCCCGGUGUAGCGGUGGAAUGCGUAGAUAUCGGGAGGAACACCAGUGGCGAAGGCGGCCUACUGGGCACCAACUGACGCUGAGGCUCGAAAGUGUGGGUAGCAAACAGGAUUAGAUACCCUGGUAGUCCACACUGUAAACGAUGAUUACUAGGUGUUGGAGGAUUGACCCCUUCAGUGCCGCAGUUAACACAAUAAGUAAUCCACCUGGGGAGUACGACCGCAAGGUUGAAACUCAAAGGAAUUGACGGGGGCCCGCACAAGCAGUGGAGUAUGUGGUUUAAUUCGACGCAACGCGAAGAACCUUACCAAGUCUUGACAUCCCUUGACGAUGCUGGAAACAGUAUUUCUCUUCGGAGCAAGGAGACAGGUGGUGCAUGGUUGUCGUCAGCUCGUGUCGUGAGAUGUUGGGUUAAGUCCCGCAACGAGCGCAACCCUUACGGUCAGUUGCUACAUUGAGUUGAGCACUCUGGCUGGACUGCCGUUGACAAAACGGAGGAAGGUGGGGAUGACGUCAAAUCAUCAUGCCCCUUACGUUCUGGGCUACACACGUACUACAAUGGCGAAAACAAAGGGCAGCGAAACCGCGAGGUGGAGCCAAUCCCAUAAAAAUCGUCUCAGUUCGGACUGCAGGCUGCAACCCGCCUGCACGAAGCUGGAAUUGCUAGUAAUCGCGGGUCAGCAUACCGCGGUGAAUACGUUCCCGGGUCUUGUACACACCGCCCGUCAAGCCAUGAAAGUUGAAAACACCCAAAGCCAGUGGGCUAACCGCAAGGAGGCAGC